This is a non-coding RNA of Phrynosoma platyrhinos (Desert horned lizard), 73 nucleotides long. NCBI's taxonomy places the organism in Eukaryota, Metazoa, Chordata, Lepidosauria, Squamata, Phrynosomatidae. The record is from the annotation of a GenBank genome assembly.
ACCAGCAUGGCAUAGGUGGUUUGAGUGUUAGACUACAACUCUGGAGACCAUGGUUCAAUUCCCUGCUCAGCCA